RNAcentral lists this ribosomal RNA (253 nucleotides) under uncultured bacterium. RNAcentral describes it as "partial 16S ribosomal RNA". It matches the Rfam family "Bacterial small subunit ribosomal RNA", at positions 524 to 776 of the family's 1533-position model. The record is from RNAcentral.
UACGUAGGGUCCGAGCGUUGUCCGGAAUUACUGGGCGUAAAGAGCUCGUAGGUGGUUUGUCGCGUUGUUCGUGAAAACUCACAGCUCAACUGUGGGCGUGCGGGCGAUACGGGCAGACUGGAGUACUGCAGGGGAGACUGGAAUUCCUGGUGUAGCGGUGGAAUGCGCAGAUAUCAGGAGGAACACCGGUGGCGAAGGCGGUUCUCUGGGCAUGUCCUGACGCUGAGGAGCGAAAGCAUGGGGAGCAAACAGG